This 426-nucleotide ribosomal RNA is filed under the name uncultured Chlamydiae bacterium. Its description in RNAcentral is "bacterial SSU rRNA". It matches the Rfam family "Bacterial small subunit ribosomal RNA", at positions 958 to 1385 of the family's 1533-position model. The record is from RNAcentral. Lineage: Bacteria; Pseudomonadati; Chlamydiota; Chlamydiia.
AACGCGAAGAACCUUACCCAGGCUCGAAAUGUAAUGGACAUCGCCAGAGAUGGCGAGUUCCGCAAGGACUGUUAUAUAGGUGCUGCAUGGCUGUCGUCAGCUCGUGCCGUGAGGUGUUUGGUUAAGUCCAGCAACGAGCGCAACCCUUAUCAUUAGUUGCCAACACGCGAGGUGGGGACUCUAAUGAGACUGCCUAGGUUAACUAGGAGGAAGGUGAGGAUGACGUCAAGUCCGCAUGGCCUUUAUGUCUGGGGCUACACACGUGCUACAAUGGUCGGUACAGAAGGCAGCAAAGUCGUAAGAUGGAGCAAAUCCGUAAAGCCGAUCACAGUUCAGAUUGUAGUCUGCAACUCGACUACAUGAAGUUGGAAUUGCUAGUAAUGACGUGUCAGCAACAACGUCGUGAAUACGUUCCCGGGCCUUGUA